This 508-nucleotide ribosomal RNA is filed under the name uncultured bacterium. RNAcentral describes it as "partial 16S ribosomal RNA". It matches the Rfam family "Bacterial small subunit ribosomal RNA", at positions 28 to 507 of the family's 1533-position model. The record is from RNAcentral.
GACGAACGCUGGCGGCGUGCCUAAUACAUGCAAGUCGAACGCUUCUUUCCUCCCGAGUGCUUGCACUCAAUUGGAAAGAGGAGUGGCGGACGGGUGAGUAACACGUGGGUAACCUACCCAUCAGAGGGGGAUAACACUUGGAAACAGGCGCUAAUACCGCAUAACAGUUUAUGCCGCAUGGCAUAAGAGUGAAAGGCGCUUUCGGGUGUCGCUGAUGGAUGGACCCGCGGUGCAUUAGCUAGUUGGUGAGGUAACGGCUCACCAAGGCCACGAUGCAUAGCCGACCUGAGAGGGUGAUCGGCCACACUGGGACUGAGACACGGCCCAGACUCCUACGGGAGGCAGCAGUAGGGAAUCUUCGGCAAUGGACGAAAGUCUGACCGAGCAACGCCGCGUGAGUGAAGAAGGUUUUCGGAUCGUAAAACUCUGUUGUUAGAGAAGAACAAGGACGUUAGUAACUGAACGUCCCCUGACGGUAUCUAACCAGAAAGCCACGGCUAACUACGUG